This 507-nucleotide ribosomal RNA is filed under the name uncultured bacterium. RNAcentral describes it as "bacterial SSU rRNA". It matches the Rfam family "Bacterial small subunit ribosomal RNA", at positions 9 to 526 of the family's 1533-position model. The record is from RNAcentral.
GAGUUUGAUCCUGGCUCAGGACGAACGCUGGCGGCGUGCCUAACACAUGCAAGUCGAACGGAGUUGAAAGGAGCUUGCUUUUUUCAACUCAGUGGCGGACGGGUGAGUAACGCGUGAGUAACCUGCCUUUCAGAGGGGGAUAACGUUCUGAAAAGAACGCUAAUACCGCAUAAGAUUGUAGCUUCGCAUGGAGCAGCAAUCAAAGGAGCAAUCCGCUGAAAGAUGGACUCGCGUCCAAUUAGCUAGUUGGUGAGGUAACGGCCCACCAAGGCGACGAUUGGUAGCCGGACUGAGAGGUUGAACGGCCACAUUGGGACUGAGAUACGGCCCAGACUCCUACGGGAGGCAGCAGUGGGGAAUUUUGCGCAAUGGGGGAAACCCUGACGCAGCAACGCCGCGUGCGGGACGACGGCCUUCGGGUUGUAAACCGCUUUCAGCAGGGAAGAAAUUCGACGGUACCUGCAGAAGAAGCUCCGGCUAACUACGUGCCAGCCGCCGCGGUAAUAC